RNAcentral lists this long non-coding RNA (229 nucleotides) under Lathyrus oleraceus (garden pea). RNAcentral's name for it is "Pisum sativum (pea) long non-coding RNA (PSAT_LNC035779)". Lineage: Eukaryota; Viridiplantae; Streptophyta; Magnoliopsida; Fabales; Fabaceae. The record is from RNAcentral.
GGGGACGGGAAUCCUUCGCCAUCCAUGGUUGUUAGCAUCAAAGCUCCGCCAUAGAAAAUCCUUUUAACCACGUACGGACCCUCAUAGUUCGGUGUCCAUUUGCCCCUGUGAUCUGUGUUGGGAGGAAGAAAUCUUUUGAGUACCAAUUCACCGACUUGAUACCCCCGAGGGUGCACUUUCUGACCAAAUGCUUUCUUCAUUCGUCUCUGACCGAGAUACGUCAAUUCUG